GGGUUGUGAGGUUAAGCGACUAAGCGUACACGGUGGAUGCCCUGGCAGUCAGAGGCGAUGAAGGACGUGCUAAUCUGCGAAAAGCGUCGGUAAGGUGAUAUGAACCGUUAUAACCGGCGAUGUCCGAAUGGGGAAACCCAGUGCAAUUCGUUGCACUAUCGUUAACUGAAUACAUAGGUUAACGAGGCGAACCGGGGGAACUGAAACAUCUAAGUACCCCGAGGAAAAGAAAUCAACCGAGAUUCCCCCAGUAGCGGCGAGCGAACGGGGAGCAGCCCAGAGUCUGAAUCAGCUUGUGUGUUAGUGGAACGGUCUGGAAAGUCCGACGGUACAGGGUGAUAGUCCCGUACACCAAAAUGCACAGGUUGUGAACUCGAAGAGUAGGGCGGGACACGUGGUAUCCUGUCUGAAUAUGGGGGGACCAUCCUCCAAGGCUAAAUACUCCUGACUGACCGAUAGUGAACCAGUACCGUGAGGGAAAGGCGAAAAGAACCCCGGCGAGGGGAGUGAAAAAGAACCUGAAACCGUGUACGUACAAGCAGUGGGAGCACCUUCGGGUGUGACUGCGUACCUUUUGUAUAAUGGGUCAGCGACUUAUAUUCUGUAGCAAGGUUAACCGUAUAGGGGAGCCGCAGGGAAACCGAGUCUUAACUGGGCGUUAAGUUGCAGGGUAUAGACCCGAAACCCGGUGAUCUAGCCAUGGGCAGGUUGAAGGUUGGGUAACACUAACUGGAGGACCGAACCGACUAAUGUUGAAAAAUUAGCGGAUGACUUGUGGCUGGGGGUGAAAGGCCAAUCAAACCGGGAGAUAGCUGGUUCUCCCCGAAAGCUAUUUAGGUAGCGCCUCGUGAACUCAUCUUCGGGGGUAGAGCACUGUUUCGGCUAGGGGGUCAUCCCGACUUACCAACCCGAUGCAAACUACGAAUACCGAAGAAUGUUAUCACGGGAGACACACGGCGGGUGCUAACGUCCGUCGUGAAGAGGGAAACAACCCAGACCGCCAGCUAAGGUCCCAAAGUCAUGGUUAAGUGGGAAACGAUGUGGGAAGGCACAGACAGCCAGGAUGUUGGCUUAGAAGCAGCCAUCAUUUAAAGAAAGCGUAAUAGCUCACUGGUCGAGUCGGCCUGCGCGGAAGAUGUAACGGGGCUAAACCAUGCACCGAAGCUGCGGCAGCGACGCUUAUGCGUUGUUGGGUAGGGGAGCGUUCUGUAAGCCUGCGAAGGUGGCCUGUGAGGGCUGCUGGAGGUAUCAGAAGUGCGAAUGCUGACAUAAGUAACGAUAAAGCGGGUGAAAAGCCCGCUCGCCGGAAGACCAAGGGUUCCUGUCCAACGUUAAUCGGGGCAGGGUGAGUCGACCCCUAAGGCGAGGCCGAAAGGCGUAGUCGAUGGGAAACAGGUUAAUAUUCCUGUACUUGGUGUUACUGCGAAGGGGGGACGGAGAAGGCUAUGUUAGCCGGGCGACGGUUGUCCCGGUUUAAGCAUGUAGGCGGAGGUUCCAGGUAAAUCCGGUACCUUUUAACGCUGAGGUGUGAUGACGAGGCACUACGGUGCUGAAGUAACAAAUGCCCUGCUUCCAGGAAAAGCCUCUAAGCAUCAGGUAACAUUAAAUCGUACCCCAAACCGACACAGGUGGUCAGGUAGAGAAUACCAAGGCGCUUGAGAGAACUCGGGUGAAGGAACUAGGCAAAAUGGUGCCGUAACUUCGGGAGAAGGCACGCUGGUGUGUAGGUGAAGUCCCUGCGGACGGAGCUGAGACCAGUCGAAGAUACCAGCUGGCUGCAACUGUUUAUUAAAAACACAGCACUGUGCAAACACGAAAGUGGACGUAUACGGUGUGACGCCUGCCCGGUGCCGGAAGGUUAAUUGAUGGGGUUAUCCGUAAGGAGAAGCUCUUGAUCGAAGCCCCGGUAAACGGCGGCCGUAACUAUAACGGUCCUAAGGUAGCGAAAUUCCUUGUCGGGUAAGUUCCGACCUGCACGAAUGGCGUAAUGAUGGCCAGGCUGUCUCCACCCGAGACUCAGUGAAAUUGAACUCGCUGUGAAGAUGCAGUGUACCCGCGGCAAGACGGAAAGACCCCGUGAACCUUUACUAUAGCUUGACACUGAACAUUGAGCCUUGAUGUGUAGGAUAGGUGGGAGGCUUUGAAGCGUGGACGCCAGUCUGCGUGGAGCCAACCUUGAAAUACCACCCUUUAAUGUUUGAUGUUCUAACGU
Molecule: ribosomal RNA, 2212 nt
Filed under: Klebsiella variicola
Lineage: Bacteria; Pseudomonadati; Pseudomonadota; Gammaproteobacteria; Enterobacterales; Enterobacteriaceae
Description: bacterial LSU rRNA
Rfam family: Bacterial large subunit ribosomal RNA
Source: RNAcentral